UACGUAGGGCGCAAGCGUUGUCCGGAAUUAUUGGGCGUAAAGGGCUCGUAGGCGGUUUGUCGCGUCGGGAGUGAAAACUCAGGGCUCAACCCUGAGCGUGCUUCCGAUACGGGCAGACUAGAGGUAUGCAGGGGAGAACGGAAUUCCUGGUGUAGCGGUGGAAUGCGCAGAUAUCAGGAGGAACACCGAUGGCGAAGGCAGAUCUCUGGGCCGUUACUGACGCUGAGGAGCGAAAGCGUGGGGAGCGAACAGG
Molecule: ribosomal RNA, 253 nt
Filed under: uncultured bacterium
Lineage: Bacteria
Description: partial 16S ribosomal RNA
Rfam family: Bacterial small subunit ribosomal RNA
Source: RNAcentral